Molecule: small RNA, 326 nt
Filed under: Pongo abelii (Sumatran orangutan)
Lineage: Eukaryota; Metazoa; Chordata; Mammalia; Primates; Hominidae
Description: processed transcript
Source: RNAcentral
UCCCCCCAGCACACCUCGACAGAUGAAACGCAUGUCAACCAAACACCAGAGGAAUAAUGUGGGGAGGCCAGCCAGUCGGUCUAAUUUGAAAGGUGUCCGUCAGAUCUCCCAUGCUGUUUCUUCCUUCUUAAAUUGAAGAAAAAAUGAAUGCACCAAAUCAGCCUCCACAUAAAGACACUGGAAAAACAGUGGAGAAUGUGGAAGAAUACAGCUAUAAGCAGGAGAAAAAGAUCCGAGCAGCUCUUAGAACAACAGAGCGUGAUCAUAAAAAAAAUGUACAGUGCUCAUUCAUGUUAGACUCAGUGGGUGGAUCUUUGCCAAAAAAA